RNAcentral lists this ribosomal RNA (455 nucleotides) under uncultured organism. RNAcentral describes it as "partial 16S ribosomal RNA". It matches the Rfam family "Bacterial small subunit ribosomal RNA", at positions 329 to 800 of the family's 1533-position model. The record is from RNAcentral.
ACGUACACUCCUGCGGGAGGCAGCAGUGGGGAAUAUUGGACAAUGGGCGCAAGCCUGAUCCAGCCAUGCCGCGUGAGUGAUGAAGGCCCUAGGGUUGUAAAGCUCUUUCACCGGAGAAGAUAAUGACGGUAUCCGGAGAAGAAGCCCCGGCUAACUUCGUGCCAGCAGCCGCGGUAAUACGAAGGGGGCUAGCGUUGUUCGGAAUUACUGGGCGUAAAGCGCACGUAGGCGGAUCGAUCAGUCAGGGGUGAAAUCCCAGGGCUCAACCCUGGAACUGCCUUUGAUACUGUCGAUCUGGAGUAUGGAAGAGGUGAGUGGAAUUCCGAGUGUAGAGGUGAAAUUCGUAGAUAUUCGGAGGAACACCAGUGGCGAAGGCGGCUCACUGGUCCAUUACUGACGCUGAGGUGCGAAAGCGUGGGGAGCAAACAGGAUUAGAAACCCUUGUAGUCCCAUGA